Sander lucioperca (pikeperch) is the source of this 1472-nucleotide RNA transcript. It is a transcript of the gene named transmembrane protein 182a, with no coding region annotated. NCBI's taxonomy places the organism in Eukaryota, Metazoa, Chordata, Actinopteri, Perciformes, Percidae. The transcript is spliced from 6 exons. The record is from RefSeq and is a predicted model, not a curated record.
GGGCUGACUGCAGACCCCAUCAGGGUCCAAAGAAGUCAUGUGCUCAACCUUGUCCUCCCAUAACACAAACAGAGAUAGGAGAGGAGUCAAGAUCCAGUCACAACAUAAACCAGCUGGGACACAUCUCACUCAGUGGAUGUACUUCAAGGAGUGACUGUUUCUGCCUCUGCUUUUCACAUGCACUCACUGUAGUUAGAGGGGAAAGGCAGACUGAGUGUGAGCAUCAAGUAGCUGAGCGGCUGGUCAAUCCUGGACCAUGAGGCUUAGUGUGGCGUUGUUUUUUGCGGGGCUUUUCGGGGCAUUGGCAGCUGUGUUCAUCCUCCUUUCGUUUGGAACUGAUUACUGGCUACUGGCCUCAGAGAGUUGCCACCCGAACCCUGAUGGAUCUGUUGGCCCGGGUGGUGUGACCAUAGAGCGUGGAGAUGUGUUGCUGCAGGAGAGCACUAGUGAUAUCACUCUAUACCAUGAGGGUUUUUUCUGGAGGUGUUCGUUUGGAGGUAGCGUGGGUGAUGACAACCUGAUGUGGAAGCUCUGGUUCACAAAUCAGCCUCAAUCAAAAGUUUGUAUGCAUGCCUACCUCUUCCCAUUCCCCGUGUCUCAUCAGACCCACAAUGCAACAGAGUAUGAUUCAGCCAUAAUCUACAGGGGCUUCUGGAGCAUCUUCAUGCUCAUUGGUGUGGCAGCUGUAGUGCUCGGUGGGUUCUUCAUCAUCUGUGCUGCUCCAUUCGCCAGCCAUCGCUUGUAUAAAGCAGGCGGCGGCCUGUUCCUGGCAUCUGGUCUUUUCCUGCUGUGUGUGGUGGUUAUGUACGUACUGUGGGUGCAGGUGUUGGAUGUGGUGGAUCUCUACAUAGACCACCAGCGCUCUACAGUGUGUCCAGACUUCCAGCUGUCCCUCAACUAUGGUCUGUCCUUCAUGUUUGCCCCUAUUGGCAUCUUCUUCUGCCUCCUGGCUGGCCUUCUUUUCCUCCUCAUUGGCCGAACCGUCCAGAAUCACUGCCACUGACUUCAACCAGCAGCAGGUUAGAGGAAGAGUUGAGGCUUGAGGUGGUUGGACUCAGUGGUGUAGUCUACGUGAUGCGCAGGUAUAUGCAGUAUACCCAACUAAGAAAGAUCCAGGAUUUCCAUAUACCCACUGUGUUUAUCUUCUUAGCAUAGGCUAAAUAAAGGUAUUUCCACCAUAAAUUGGUGCAUAAAAGUGUAUUCGAUUGCAGGAAAUGAAGUCUUUGGCGCUCAGAAUUUCCCUCUGGGAGGUGGCCGGUUGGCUCGGUUGGUAGAGGUGGGUGCACAUGUGCAGGGGUUUGUUCCUCGGUGCAGAAGGUCCGGGGUUCGAGUCCGGCCUGUGGCGGUUUUCCUGCAUGUCUUCCCCCAUCUUUCUCCCCUUUCAUAUCUCAGCUUUCCUGUCUAAUAAAGGCAGAAAUGCCCAAAAAUAACAAAAAUAAAUAAAAACAAUUCCCUCUGGGAGAACACCCAGA